GAUCAUGGCUCAGGAUGAACGCUAGCUACAGGCUUAACACAUGCAAGUCGAGGGGUAGCAGGGUAGCAAUACCGCUGACGACCGGCGCACGGGUGAGUAACACGUAUCCAACCUUCCCAUAACUCAGGGAUAGCCUUUCGAAAGAAAGAUUAAUACCUGAUAGUACUUUUUCAAGGCAUCUUGAGAAAGUUAAAGAUUUAUUGGUUAUGGAUGGGGAUGCGUUCCAUUAGAUAGUUGGUGAGGUAACGGCUCACCAAGUCUUCGAUGGAUAGGGGUUCUGAGAGGAAGGUCCCCCACAUUGGUACUGAGACACGGACCAAACUCCUACGGGAGGCAGCAGUGAGGAAUAUUGGUCAAUGGGCGAGAGCCUGAACCAGCCAAGUAGCGUGAAGGAAUGAAGGUCCUAUGGAUUGUAAACUUCUUUUAUAGUAGAAUAAAGUGAUCCACGUGUGGAUUUUUGUAUGUAUACUAUGAAUAAGGAUCGGCUAACUCCGUGCCAGCCGCCGC
RNAcentral lists this ribosomal RNA (507 nucleotides) under uncultured bacterium. RNAcentral's name for it is "bacterial SSU rRNA". It matches the Rfam family "Bacterial small subunit ribosomal RNA", at positions 15 to 518 of the family's 1533-position model. The record is from RNAcentral.